This 521-nucleotide ribosomal RNA is filed under the name Anopheles dthali. RNAcentral describes it as "eukaryotic LSU rRNA". The record is from RNAcentral. Lineage: Eukaryota; Metazoa; Arthropoda; Insecta; Diptera; Culicidae.
CGCGUCCAUGUGACUGCAGGACACAUGAACACCGAUACGUUGAACGCAUAUUGCGCGUCGGACGAUUAAACCCGGCCGAUGCACACAUUCUUGAGUGCCUACCAAAUCCUUGUUACACAAUAAACCUAACUACAGGGUGCCGCGUGCAGCGAACAUACACCAUGGCGAGCAGCCCGCCUGGUGUCGCUGGCCAACGCGCGUGCACACUGUGCAUAAUGGCGUGCUCGGUCCUCCGGGACUUAGGGCGCUGAAAGGUUAUGGCAAGUACUGUUACCUCAAAAGUACGCGUGGUACAAAGUCACAUGGUUCGGCUUUGAUAGACGAUCUGAGACCCCGUUAGCCUAAUACACCUGGUUAUCGCUAGUUUAUCAGACCCAAUCUUCUAUCGAGUCGUGUAACACUUGUGAACCCGGCCGAUCGUGCUUACCUAUGUGCAGUACAUACCGCCUGAAAGCUACACAACCCCGUUAGCUAAUAUGUAGGCCUCAAGUGAUGUGAGACUACCCCCUAAAUUUAAGCAU